Long non-coding RNA from Lepus europaeus (European hare), 267 nucleotides. RefSeq lists it as uncharacterized. The transcript has 2 exons. The record is from RefSeq and is a predicted model, not a curated record. NCBI's taxonomy places the organism in Eukaryota, Metazoa, Chordata, Mammalia, Lagomorpha, Leporidae.
CGUUCUUGCUGGGAGGUCCAGGGUCCGAGCUGGCCCUUUGAGGAGUUGCAGAAGAUAGGUUCCUUCCUUCGCCCCACCCUGGUCCUCGCCGUUCUCACCGCGCACCGCCGGCUUCGUGAGCCCAGUCACUCCUCUCACCCAGCUCUGGGAAAAGGAAUCCUGUCCUAGUUCACAAAGUGUGAUGGACAAAUUCCAAAAGGCUGUGUGUUUGUGACCCGGAUUACUUCUGCAAGAAUUUUGGUGUUCUACUUCCCUCUGCUGGAUAAA